GCCGGCAGCGACGGCGACUGCGACGCAGCAGGUGGCAGCAAAGUCGGCGAUAAAGGACAAAAUACAAAAAGAAUACAAACUAGAAAAGCUCAGAAAGCAACAAUUGAACGAAACGCAUAAUGCGUGCUCAAUGAACAAACAAAUUACGUGCAAUUUACAGUUGCAAUCAAGACAGAAGAAUACAGAAGAGCCGAACAAGGUGGGCAGGAGGAGGUGGGAAGAAAUGAAAAUAAGCAAGUCCUGACUUCAAACGUGGGUAGCAACAAUUACAAAAAGACUUUUGCCUACAUCUUACAACUUAAUGUGUGCGACACUGUGCAGGCCACAAAUGUACAAACCACCAAACCAUAAUAAUAAAAUGACAUUCCGGUUUA
Drosophila mauritiana is the source of this 374-nucleotide long non-coding RNA. RefSeq lists it as uncharacterized. Lineage: Eukaryota; Metazoa; Arthropoda; Insecta; Diptera; Drosophilidae. The transcript is spliced from 2 exons. The record is from RefSeq and is a predicted model, not a curated record.